GGGGAUAUAGCUCAGUUGGUAGAGUGCUUGCCUUGCAUGCACAAGGCCCUGGGUUCAAUCCCCAGCACACACA
RNAcentral lists this transfer RNA (73 nucleotides) under Marmota marmota marmota (Alpine marmot). It matches the Rfam family "tRNA". Rfam says of the family: Transfer RNA (tRNA) molecules are approximately 80 nucleotides in length. Their secondary structure includes four short double-helical elements and three loops (D, anti-codon, and T loops). RNAcentral also lists the same sequence under 4 other names. Lineage: Eukaryota; Metazoa; Chordata; Mammalia; Rodentia; Sciuridae. The record is from Rfam by way of RNAcentral.